RNAcentral lists this ribosomal RNA (253 nucleotides) under uncultured bacterium. RNAcentral's name for it is "partial 16S ribosomal RNA". It matches the Rfam family "Bacterial small subunit ribosomal RNA", at positions 524 to 776 of the family's 1533-position model. The record is from RNAcentral.
UACGUAGGGUGCAAGCGUUGUCCGGAAUUAUUGGGCGUAAAGGGCUCGUAGGCGGCCAACUAAGUCCGACGUGAAAUCCCAAAGCUUAACUUUGGAACUGCGUCGGAUACUGGAUGGCUUGAAUUCGGGAGAGGGAUGCAGAAUUCCAGGUGUAGCGGUGAAAUGCGUAGAUAUCUGGAGGAAUACCGGUGGCGAAGGCGGCAUCCUGGACCGACAUUGACGCUGAUGAGCGAAAGCUAGGGGAGCAAACGGG